This 433-nucleotide ribosomal RNA is filed under the name uncultured bacterium. Its description in RNAcentral is "partial 16S ribosomal RNA". It matches the Rfam family "Bacterial small subunit ribosomal RNA", at positions 29 to 507 of the family's 1533-position model. The record is from RNAcentral.
AACGAACGCUGGCGGCAUGCCUAACACAUGCAAGUCGAACGAUCCCUUCGGGGAUAGUGGCGCACGGGUGCGUAACGCGUGGGAACCUGCCCUUAGGUUCGGAAUAACUCAGAGAAAUUUGAGCUAAUACCGGAUAAUGUCUUCGGACCAAAGAUUUAUCGCCUUUGGAUGGGCCCGCGUUGGAUUAGCUAGUUGGUGGGGUAAAGGCCUACCAAGGCGACGAUCCAUAGCUGGUCUGAGAGGAUGAUCAGCCACACUGGGACUGAGACACGGCCCAGACUCCUACGGGAGGCAGCAGUGGGGAAUAUUGGACAAUGGGCGAAAGCCUGAUCCAGCAAUGCCGCGUGAGUGAUGAAGGCCUUAGGGUUGUAAAGCUCUUUUACCCGGGAUGAUAAUGACAGUACCGGGAGAAUAAGCCCCGGCUAGCUCCGUG